RNAcentral lists this unclassified non-coding RNA (170 nucleotides) under uncultured Dothideomycetes. RNAcentral's name for it is "sequence contains ITS1". Lineage: Eukaryota; Fungi; Ascomycota; Dothideomycetes. The record is from RNAcentral.
CCGAGUCCCCGCUCCUUGUGAGCGGACCUCCCACCCAUUGUGAUCGCUACGAUCGUUGCUUUGGCGGGCCGUUCGGGUCCAACCCGGCCACCGGCUCUCUGCUGGUGUGCGCCCGCCAGAGGCUACUAAACUCUGAGAUUUAUGUCUGUCUGAGUAUUAUAUAAUCGUUA